RNAcentral lists this ribosomal RNA (519 nucleotides) under Microascus intricatus. Its description in RNAcentral is "eukaryotic LSU rRNA". It matches the Rfam family "Eukaryotic large subunit ribosomal RNA", at positions 50 to 573 of the family's 3401-position model. The record is from RNAcentral. Lineage: Eukaryota; Fungi; Ascomycota; Sordariomycetes; Microascales; Microascaceae.
GCGGAGGAAAAGAAACCAACAGGGAUUGCCCCAGUAACGGCGAGUGAAGCGGCAACAGCUCAAAUUUGAAAUCUGGCCCCCCCGCGGGGUCCGAGUUGUAAUUUGAAGAGGAUGCUUCUGGCGAGGCGCCGUCCGAGUUCCCUGGAACGGGACGCCGCAGAGGGUGAGAGCCCCGUACGGUCGGACGCCGAGCCUAUGUGAAGCUCCUUCGACGAGUCGAGUAGUUUGGGAAUGCUGCUCAAAAUGGGAGGUAAACCCCUUCUAAAGCUAAAUACCGGCCAGAGACCGAUAGCGCACAAGUAGAGUGAUCGAAAGAUGAAAAGCACUUUGAAAAGAGAGUUAAAAAGCACGUGAAAUUGUUGAAAGGGAAGCGCUUGCGACCAGACUCGCGCCCGUCGGAUCAGCCGUCGCUCGUCGGCGGCGCACUCCGGCGGGCUCGGGCCAGCAUCGGUUCGCCUCGGGGGGAGAAAGGCGGCGGGAAUGUGGCUCUACGGAGUGUUAUAGCCCGCCGUGCAAUAC